RNAcentral lists this ribosomal RNA (184 nucleotides) under uncultured Desulfurispora sp. RNAcentral describes it as "partial 16S ribosomal RNA". It matches the Rfam family "Bacterial small subunit ribosomal RNA", at positions 1197 to 1382 of the family's 1533-position model. The record is from RNAcentral. Lineage: Bacteria; Bacillati; Bacillota; Clostridia; Eubacteriales; Desulfurisporaceae.
GGCCCUUAUCGGUAGGGCUUCACACGUGCUACAAUGGUGCGAACAGAGGGCAGCCACCUGCAAGGGGAGCGAAUCCCUAAAAGCGCAUCACAGUUCGGAUUGCAGGCUGCAACUCGCCUGCAUGAAGUCGGAAUCGCUAGUAAUCGCAGGUCAGCAUACUGCGGUGAAUACGUUCCCGGGCCUU